AGGCAGUUGGGGAAAUAAACAGAGCGCCAACUCAACAGUCAGCGCCCCUGUGCAUCGCAGCGCAACCUGCGAUGGGAGAGGUUUCUCUGCCUUCGUGGCCGCUUCCUUAACAGAUUCAUGAUUGGCAGGUGGCCUGCGAGCUCUCACAUGCGUGCGGUGGGCGCCCCAGGGACUGCCCCUCCUUUGGCAGGAGCCUGACGAGAGAAACCUGAUAAAUUUGCACAGGGACAGAUGCUCAGGGGAAAGGAAAGAGCUCUGCCUUGCACUUGUACAGAAAGGAAACAAGGCAGCAGAGGCAAGACCAAUGGAGAGUACGGCAGCAAGACAGAAAGGGGCAGAAGGCGACAGAACAUGCACGCUGGGGACAUGGAAAUUUCUAGAAAGAAGGCGCAAGCAGGCACGAUUUCGGCCAAUCCUAGUUGGUCUGCUGUGGUAGUGGGAUGACUUACUGGAUAUGAAAGAUUGGAGGAAAAGACACCAAAAUGGUCUUGUCUGACCUCAAUACCACCCUAUAUUUUUAUUUUACUGUAUGGUUUAUAGAAUGUUUCACACAUAUUCUUAUUACAGACUUGAUUUUUCACAUUUAAGUAGCCAACACUACAAAAUAUUGUCAAGCCUUUUUUUUUUUUUUUUUUUUUUUUUUUGGCUGGGCAGCUUUAUUGUAGGCAUGCAUAUUAUUUGUAAUAAGGUUCAUGAAUUAUUGAAGGGUAGGGGGGUGCAGUGUGGUCUCUUAGAAAAGGCAUUGUUUUGGAGUCUGAAGAACCUGGAUUUAAAAUUUAGCUCUUCAACUUGAUAGAUGAGUAUGAGUGACUUUAAUUUAUCUAGAAAAUGAAGAUGUAACCCACAUAUCUCUUAUCCAGGAUAUGCUUCAUAAAUGCUAGCUAUUGCUGAAAAUGGUUUAUAAUAUCCCCAUUACUUACUUUUUUUUUUUUAGACAGAGUUUCACUCUUGUUGCCCAGGUUGGAGUGCAAUGGCACGAUCUCGGCUCACUGCAACCUCUGCCUCCCAGGUUCAAGCGAUUCUCCUGCCUUAGCCUCUUGACUAGCUGGGAUUACAGGCGUGCGCUAUCACACCAGCUAAUUUUUUGUAUUUUCUUAGUAGAGACAGGGUUUCGCCUUGUUGGUCAGGCUGGUCUUGAACACCUGACCUCAGGUGAUCUGCCCACUUUGGUCUCUCAAAGUGCUGGGAUUACAGGCAUGAGCCACCAUGCCCCGCCCCCCGUUACUUCUUUUUAGGACCCAAGGUUGGGGACCAUUAGUCUAUGUGCAGUCGUGCCUUGUUAUCUGUGGGGGACUGGUUCCAGGAACUGUUGGUAUAAUGCCUACGUGACAUAGCUGAAUUUCUCCUUUGCUCUAACUCUGCUUAUCUUUAAGAAACAGGACACCGGCGAUAAAAAGUUCCCUUUGUAACCAGACCAGCUGAGACCAGUUACAAAGCCUACCCCAGGUAUCCGACCAGAUGACUUCAAAAAGACCUCAGGCUUCAUUAUAAUCUAAUUUCCAUGCUAAAUGACACUUCCACCAGUGUCAUGACGGUUGCCAGUCCCCGUGACAAUGACCAGAAGGAGCCAUAAAAGGACAAAAACAAGGGAGCCCCUCAUUCCAAGAAGUGUACCGCCCAGUUCCAGAAAAGACAUGGAUAUUCCUCCUCUUGCUUUUAAUGUCCAGCCAUCAUUAAGGAAACCCUAUAUGAUAACCCCCUCACCCCUCACUAAUUGAGAAGUUGAUUUGUGAGCCAAGCUCCCGCUUCUCAAUUCCAUGGCCAUCGAAUAAAGCCUGCACCACUUGACACUC
RNAcentral lists this long non-coding RNA (1793 nucleotides) under Homo sapiens (human). Its description in RNAcentral is "HSALNT0392860". The record is from RNAcentral. Lineage: Eukaryota; Metazoa; Chordata; Mammalia; Primates; Hominidae.